GACGAACGCUGGCGGCGUGCUUAACACAUGCAAGUCGAACGGAAAGGCCCUGCUUUUGUGGGGUGCUCGAGUGGCGAACGGGUGAGUAACACGUGAGUAACCUGCCCUUGACUUUGGGAUAACUUCAGGAAACUGGGGCUAAUACCGGAUAGGAGCUCCUGCUGCAUGGUGGUGGUUGGAAAGUUUCGGCGGUUGGGGAUGGACUCGCGGCUUAUCAGCUUGUUGGUGGGGUAGUGGCUUACCAAGGCUUUGACGGGUAGCCGGCCUGAGAGGGUGACCGGCCACAUAGGGACUAGGAUACGGCACAAACUCCUACGGGAGGCAGAAGUGGGGAAUAUUGCACAAUGGGCGGAAGCCUAAUGCAGCAACGCCGCGUGCGGGAUGAAGGCCUUCGGGUUGUAAACCGCUUUCGCCUGUGACGAAGCGUGAGUGACGGUAAUGGGUAAAGAAGCACCGGCUAACUACGUG
RNAcentral lists this ribosomal RNA (468 nucleotides) under uncultured bacterium. RNAcentral describes it as "partial 16S ribosomal RNA". It matches the Rfam family "Bacterial small subunit ribosomal RNA", at positions 28 to 507 of the family's 1533-position model. The record is from RNAcentral.